CUGCUAGAGAUAGCAGCGGCCUUCGGGACAGGGGAGACAGGUGGUGCAUGGUUGUCGUCAGCUCGUGUCGUGAGAUGUUGGGUUAAGUCCCGCAACGAGCGCAACCCUCGAUUUUAGUUGCCAGCACCUCGGGUGGGCACUCUAGAAUGACUGCCGGUGACAAACCGGAGGAAGGCGGGGAUGACGUCAAAUCAUCAUGCCCCUUAUGACCUGGGCUACACACGUACUACAAUGGCCGGUACAACGGGCCGCGAAGCCGCGAGGCGGAGCCAAUCCUAAAAAGCCGGUCUCAGUUCGGAUUGCAGGCUGCAACUCGCCUGCAUGAAGUCGGAAUUGCUAGUAAUCGCGGAUCAGCAUGCCGCGGUGAAUACGUUCCCGGGUCUUGUACACACCGCCCGUCACACCACGAGAGUUUACAACACCCGAAGUCGGUGGGGUAACCCGCAAGGGAGCCAGCCGCCGAAGGUGGGGUAGAUGAUUG
RNAcentral lists this ribosomal RNA (481 nucleotides) under uncultured Paenibacillus sp. RNAcentral's name for it is "bacterial SSU rRNA". It matches the Rfam family "Bacterial small subunit ribosomal RNA", at positions 997 to 1477 of the family's 1533-position model. Lineage: Bacteria; Bacillati; Bacillota; Bacilli; Caryophanales; Paenibacillaceae. The record is from RNAcentral.